UGCAUUCCGAUUUCGUGCUCUAUAGGUUCAUUUUGUUUCUGUAUCAUUCAGGUUUUUAAUGGAAAUCGAUACGAGCCUUUCAAAGAACAGAGUUUAGCAAGUGGGAACAGGUUUUUAAUGGAAAUCGAUACGAGCCUUUCAAAGAACAGAGUUUAGCAAGUGGGAACAGGUUUAUAAUGGAAAUCGAUACGAGCCUUUCAAAGAACAGAGUUUAGCAAGUGGGAACAGGUGAUUUACAGGAGGGGUUAAUGAGAGGAAAUACUGUCAACCAAUAAUUAACAGCUGGUGAUGACAACCUUUGAUGGUAGCUUGUGCUUCAAUCUUUAACAUUAU
This is a long non-coding RNA of Dendronephthya gigantea, 333 nucleotides long. RefSeq lists it as uncharacterized. The record is from RefSeq and is a predicted model, not a curated record. NCBI's taxonomy places the organism in Eukaryota, Metazoa, Cnidaria, Anthozoa, Malacalcyonacea, Nephtheidae. The transcript has 4 exons.